Molecule: ribosomal RNA, 219 nt
Filed under: uncultured bacterium
Lineage: Bacteria
Description: partial 16S ribosomal RNA
Rfam family: Bacterial small subunit ribosomal RNA
Source: RNAcentral
UACGUAGGGUGCAAGCGUUUGUCCGGAAUUAUUGGGCGUAAAGAGCUCGUAGGCGGUUCGUCGCGUCGGCUGUGAAAACCUGAGGCUCAACCUCAGGCCUGCAGUCGAUACGGGCGGACUUGAGUACUGCAGGGGAGACGUGGAAUUCCUGGUGAUAGCGGUGAAAUACGCAGAUAUCAGGAGGAACACCGGUGGCGAAGGCGGGUCUCUGGGCAGUAA